RNAcentral lists this ribosomal RNA (784 nucleotides) under Salmonella enterica subsp. enterica serovar Kottbus. Its description in RNAcentral is "partial 23S ribosomal RNA". It matches the Rfam family "Bacterial large subunit ribosomal RNA", at positions 2164 to 2925 of the family's 2925-position model. The record is from RNAcentral. RNAcentral also lists the same sequence under 1 other name. Lineage: Bacteria; Pseudomonadati; Pseudomonadota; Gammaproteobacteria; Enterobacterales; Enterobacteriaceae.
GUGGACGCCAGUCUGCGUGGAGCCGACCUUGAAAUACCACCCUUUAAUGUUUGAUGUUCUAACGUGGACCCGUUACCCGGGUUGCGGACAGUGUCUGGUGGGUAGUUUGACUGGGGCGGUCUCCUCCUAAAGAGUAACGGAGGAGCACGAAGGUUGGCUAAUCCUGGUCGGACAUCAGGAGGUUAGUGCAAUGGCAUAAGCCAGCUUGACUGCGAGCGUGACGGCGCGAGCAGGUGCGAAAGCAGGUCAUAGUGAUCCGGUGGUUCUGAAUGGAAGGGCCAUCGCUCAACGGAUAAAAGGUACUCCGGGGAUAACAGGCUGAUACCGCCCAAGAGUUCAUAUCGACGGCGGUGUUUGGCACCUCGAUGUCGGCUCAUCACAUCCUGGGGCUGAAGUAGGUCCCAAGGGUAUGGCUGUUCGCCAUUUAAAGUGGUACGCGAGCUGGGUUUAGAACGUCGUGAGACAGUUCGGUCCCUAUCUGCCGUGGGCGCUGGAGAACUGAGGGGGGCUGCUCCUAGUACGAGAGGACCGGAGUGGACGCAUCACUGGUGUUCGGGUUGUCAUGCCAAUGGCACUGCCCGGUAGCUAAAUGCGGAAGAGAUAAGUGCUGAAAGCAUCUAAGCACGAAACUUGCCCCGAGAUGAGUUCUCCCUGAGACUUUAGGUCUCCUGAAGGAACGUUGAAGACGACGACGUUGAUAGGCCGGGUGUGUAAGCGCAGCGAUGCGUUGAGCUAACCGGUACUAAUGAACCGUGAGGCUUAACCUUACAACGCCGAAGCUGUU